RNAcentral lists this ribosomal RNA (497 nucleotides) under uncultured bacterium. RNAcentral's name for it is "bacterial SSU rRNA". It matches the Rfam family "Bacterial small subunit ribosomal RNA", at positions 28 to 517 of the family's 1533-position model. The record is from RNAcentral.
GAUUAACGCUAGCGGCAGGCCUAAUACAUGCAAGUCGAGGGGCAGCAGGGUGUAGCAAUACAUCGCUGGCGACCGGCGCACGGGUGCGUAACACGUAUGCAACCUACCUUUAACUGGGGAAUAGCCCUCCGAAAGGAGGAUUAACACCGCAUAACAUCACGAGACGGCAUCGCCUUGUGAUCAAACCUCCGGGGGUUAAAGAUGGGCAUGCGUCCGAUUAGCUAGUUGGCGGGGUAACGGCCCACCAAGGCGACGAUCGGUAGGGGGUCUGAGAGGAUGAUCCCCCACACUGGUACUGAGACACGGACCAGACUCCUAUGGGAGGCAGCAGUAAGGAAUAUUGGACAAUGGUCGCAAGACUGAUCCAGCCAUGCCGCGUGCAGGAUGAACGAUCUAUGAUCUGUAAACUGCUUUUUGUUCGGGAAUAAACCCCUUCACGUGUGGAGGGCUGAAUGUACCGAAAGAAUAAGGGUCGGCUAACUUCGUGCCAGCAGCCG